GGAUAACUCAGUUGGUUAGAGCAUGGUGCUGAAAUUACCAAGACUGCAGGUUCGAUCCCCAUAAGGAACA
Molecule: transfer RNA, 70 nt
Filed under: Podarcis lilfordi (Lilford's wall lizard)
Lineage: Eukaryota; Metazoa; Chordata; Lepidosauria; Squamata; Lacertidae
Description: tRNA.Phe
Source: RNAcentral